CAUGCAAGUCGAACGAUGAAGCCCUUCGGGGUGGAUUAGUGGCGAACGGGUGAGUAACACGUGGGCAAUCUGCCCUUCACUCUGGGACAAGCCCUGGAAACGGGGUCUAAUACCGGAUAACACUCUGUCCCGCAUGGGACGGGGUUAAAAGCUCCGGCGGUGAAGGAUGAGCCCGCGGCCUAUCAGCUUGUUGGUGGGGUAAUGGCCUACCAAGGCGACGACGGGUAGCCGGCCUGAGAGGGCGACCGGCCACACUGGGACUGAGACACGGCCCAGACUCCUACGGGAGGCAGCAGUGGGGAAUAUUGCACAAUGGGCGAAAGCCUGAUGCAGCGACGCCGCGUGAGGGAUGACGGCCUUCGGGUUGUAAACCUCUUUCAGCAGGGAAGAAGCGAAAGUGACGGUACCUGCAGAAGAAGCGCCGGCUAACUACGUGCCAGCAGCCGCGGUAAUACGUAGGGCGCAAGCGUUGUCCGGAAUUAUUGGGCGUAAAGAGCUCGUAGGCGGCUUGUCACGUCGGAUGUGAAAGCCCGGGGCUUAACCCCGGGUCUGCAUUCGAUACGGGCUAGCUAGAGUGUGGUAGGGGAGAUCGGAAUUCCUGGUGUAGCGGUGAAAUGCGCAGAUAUCAGGAGGAACACCGGUGGCGAAGGCGGAUCUCUGGGCCAUUACUG
RNAcentral lists this ribosomal RNA (671 nucleotides) under Streptomyces sp. Sp080513SC-27. RNAcentral's name for it is "bacterial SSU rRNA". It matches the Rfam family "Bacterial small subunit ribosomal RNA", at positions 54 to 742 of the family's 1533-position model. The record is from RNAcentral. Lineage: Bacteria; Bacillati; Actinomycetota; Actinomycetes; Kitasatosporales; Streptomycetaceae.